AGUUUGAUCCUGGCUCAGGAUGAACGCUAGCUACAGGCUUAACACAUGCAAGUCGAGGGGAAACGACAUCGAAAGCUUGCUUUUGAUGGGCGUCGACCGGCGCACGGGUGAGUAACGCGUAUCCAACCUGCCCACCACUUGGGGAUAACCUUGCGAAAGUAAGACUAAUACCCAAUGAUAUCUCUAGAAGACAUCUGAAAGAGAUUAAAGAUUUAUCGGUGAUGGAUGGGGAUGCGUCUGAUUAGCUUGUUGGCGGGGUAACGGCCCACCAAGGCGACGAUCAGUAGGGGUUCUGAGAGGAAGGUCCCCCACAUUGGAACUGAGACACGGUCCAAACUCCUACGGGAGGCAGCAGUGAGGAAUAUUGGUCAAUGGACGAGAGUCUGAACCAGCCAAGUAGCGUGCAGGAUGACGGCCCUAUGGGUUGUAAACUGCUUUUAUAAGGGAAUAAAGUGAGUCUCGUGAGACUUUUUGCAUGUACCUUAUGAAUAAGGACCGGCUAAUUCCGUGCCAGCAGCCGCGGUAAUACGGAAGGUCCGGGCGUUAUCCGGAUUUAUUGGGUUUAAAGGGAGCGUAGGCCGGAGAUUAAGCGUGUUGUGAAAUGUAGACGCUCAACGUCUGCACUGCAGCGCGAACUGGUUUCCUUGAGUACGCACAAAGUGGGCGGAAUUCGUGGUGUAGCGGUGAAAUGCUUAGAUAUCACGAAGAACUCCGAUUGCGAAGGCAGCUCACUGGAGCGCAACUGACGCUGAAGCUCGAAAGUGCGGGUAUCGAACAGGAUUAGAUACCCUGGUAGUCCGCACGGUAAACGAUGGAUGCCCGCUGUUGGUCUGAAUAGGUCAGCGGCCAAGCGAAAGCAUUAAGCAUCCCACCUGGGGAGUACGCCGGCAACGGUGAAACUCAAAGGAAUUGACGGAAGG
Molecule: ribosomal RNA, 920 nt
Filed under: uncultured bacterium
Lineage: Bacteria
Description: bacterial SSU rRNA
Rfam family: Bacterial small subunit ribosomal RNA
Source: RNAcentral